This 277-nucleotide ribosomal RNA is filed under the name uncultured bacterium. RNAcentral describes it as "partial 16S ribosomal RNA". It matches the Rfam family "Bacterial small subunit ribosomal RNA", at positions 524 to 796 of the family's 1533-position model. The record is from RNAcentral.
UACGGAGGGGGCUAGCGUUGUUCGGAAUUACUGGGCGUAAAGCGCUCGUAGGCGGAUUGGUCAGUCGAGGUGAAAGCCCAGGGCUCAACCCUGGAACUGCCUUUGAUACUGCCAGUCUAGAGUUCGGGAGAGGUGAGCGGAAUUCCGAGUGUAGAGGUGAAAUUCGAUAGAUAUUCGGAGGAACACCAGAGGCGAAGGCGGCUCACUGGACCGAUACUGACGCUGAGGAGGCGAAAAGCGUGGGGAGCAAACAGGGAUUAAGAUACCCCCGUAGUCC